This 645-nucleotide ribosomal RNA is filed under the name uncultured bacterium. Its description in RNAcentral is "bacterial SSU rRNA". It matches the Rfam family "Bacterial small subunit ribosomal RNA", at positions 232 to 885 of the family's 1533-position model. The record is from RNAcentral.
CGCGGCCUAUCAGCUUGUUGGUGGGGUCAAGGCCUACCAAGGCAACGAUGGGUAGCUGGUCUGAGAGGAUGAUCAGCCACACUGGGACUGAGACACGGCCCAGACUCCUACGGGAGGCAGCAGUGGGGAAUCUUGCGCAAUGCGCGAAAGCGUGACGCAGCAACACCGCGUGAGGGAAGACGGCCUUAGGGUUGUAAACCCCUUUCAGGAGGGACGAAGCGAAAGUGACGGUACCUCCAGAAGAAGCCCCGGCCAACUACGUGCCAGCAGCCGCGGUAAUACGUAGGGGGCGAGCGUUGUCCGGAUUUAUUGGGCGUAAAGAGCUCGUAGGCGGCUCAACAAGUCGGCCGUGAAAGCCCGAGGCUUAACCUCGGGACGCCGGUCGAAACUGUUGUGGCUAGGGUCCGGUAGAGGAGAGUGGAAUUCCCGGUGUAGCGGUGAAAUGCGCAGAUAUCGGGAGGAACACCAGUAGCGAAGGCGGCUCUCUGGGCCGGCACCGACGCUGAGGAGCGAAAGCUAGGGGAGCAAACAGGAUUAGAUACCCUGGUAGUCCUAGCCGUAAACGAUGGGUACUAGGUGUGGCGGAUUCAUUGACAUCUGCCGUGCCGAAGCUAACGCAUUAAGUACCCCGCCUGGGGAGUACGG